Betta splendens (Siamese fighting fish) is the source of this 1105-nucleotide long non-coding RNA. RefSeq lists it as uncharacterized. Lineage: Eukaryota; Metazoa; Chordata; Actinopteri; Anabantiformes; Osphronemidae. The record is from RefSeq and is a predicted model, not a curated record. The transcript has 3 exons.
AAACAACUGUCAAUUACACUUACACCAAACAUGGCGGAUACAGGUUACAGUAAUACAAUAUUUAAGGAGGAAGCACAAGGUGCCAGGGUGCAGGUCUCAAAAAAUUUCCAAGAAGACUGGAUACAGCAAGUUUCUGGCUGCAAAAAUAUGUUGAAUUUCUUUCCCCAUCUUCUAUCCAUCUGGCUCUGGACCUGAUAUAUGCUCCUCCAAUUUAGUUGCAGUUUCAAAAUUUGUUGCCUGUCACUGUCCGAUGGGUUAGGCCUACCACAGUAAUCAUUCAGCUGUUUUAUAAUGCCCAGCUCAUUUUUUUCAAGAUCUUUCUUAAAUUUUUUACUGAAUGAGAUCGAAAAUUUGCGAAUUUUGUACUUGAGGUAUUCCCAUUUUUUGACUCGAGAAUCAAGUUCCUCAGAUGUCUCAAUUUCUAAAACCAGUGAUUUAAUAUUUUGGCAGUAAUCAUUAUUUUUAGUAAGGCUGCAGUUAAAUUUCCAGUAUUUAUUUGUGUAUUUUUUCCUAUACUGGGUUUGAUAUAUAAAAAUAUGACACAGUGGUCUGUUAAUGGAACAGGAGAAAUAUUACAUUUAACUUCAUGGGACAAUAGUUGAGAUGAAAUUAACCAAUGGUCAAUUCUUGAUUUUAAAUUAUAGUUAGCGCUGAACCAUGUGAACUGUAUUGUACCUGGGUUAAGGUGUUUCCAUGUGUAGUUUAGGUCUUGCUCAUUGCAGAAAUUGUUAAACAUUACAUUGGGGUGACUUAAAGCAUAAUUAGAAGGAAAUCUAUCCAUACAGUCAUCUCGUACUAGGUUCAAGUCCCUCCCAAGUAUGAUAUUAUUAGAUGAGUGUGUUAAACUGAGUUGGUCUAAAUGUGAUGAGAUUUGUUCUAAUAAUCUUUUAUUUUCUUUAGUAUUAUUAUAGCCAUAUAUGUUGACCAGGAUGAACUUCAGAUUAUCAAUAUUUAUUAUGAUAAUCAACCGGUGGCCGUGUUUGUCUGCCAAAUGGGACACAAGUUGGCCUUGGAAGUUUCUAGGUAGUAUAGCGACGCCUGCUGAUCUAGAUUUGCUACGGCUAAAGAAAGCCUUGUCACCCCACUGCUGAGACCAGAAUAAAUU